AGUGAACGCUGGCGGUAGGCCUAACACAUGCAAGUCGAACGGCAGCACAGUAAGAGCUUGCUCUUACGGGUGGCGAGUGGCGGACGGGUGAGGAAUACAUCGGAAUCUACUUUUUCGUGGGGGAUAACGUAGGGAAACUUACGCUAAUACCGCAUACGACCUACGGGUGAAAGCAGGGGAUCUUCGGACCUUGCGCGAUUGAAUGAGCCGAUGUCGGAUUAGCUAGUUGGCGGGGUAAAGGCCCACCAAGGCGACGAUCCGUAGCUGGUCUGAGAGGCUGGUCAGCCACACUGGAACUUGGACACGGUCCAGACUCCUACGGGAGGCAGCAGUGGGGAAUAUUAGACAAUGGGCGCAAGCCUUAUCCAGCCAUACCGCGUGGGUGAAGGAGGCCUUCCGGUUGUAAAGCCCUUUUGUUGGGAAAGAAAAGCAGCAGGUUAAUACCCCGCUGUUCUGACGGUACCCAAAGAAUAAGCACCGGCUAACUUCGUG
Molecule: ribosomal RNA, 492 nt
Filed under: uncultured bacterium
Lineage: Bacteria
Description: partial 16S ribosomal RNA
Rfam family: Bacterial small subunit ribosomal RNA
Source: RNAcentral